Molecule: ribosomal RNA, 515 nt
Filed under: uncultured bacterium
Lineage: Bacteria
Description: partial 16S ribosomal RNA
Rfam family: Bacterial small subunit ribosomal RNA
Source: RNAcentral
GAUGAACGCUGGCGGCGUGCCUAAUACAUGCAAGUCGAGCGAAUGGAUUAAGAGCUUGCUCUUAUGAAGUUAGCGGCGGACGGGUGAGUAACACGUGGGUAACCUGCCCAUAAGACUGGGAUAACUCCGGGAAACCGGGGCUAAUACCGGAUAACAUUUUGAACCGCAUGGUUCGAAAUUGAAAGGCGGCUUCGGCUGUCACUUAUGGAUGGACCCGCGUCGCAUUAGCUAGUUGGUGAGGUAACGGCUCACCAAGGCAACGAUGCGUAGCCGACCGGAGAGAGUGAUCGGACAAACUGGGACUGAGACACGGCCCAGAAUCCUACGGGAGGCAGCAGUAGGGAAUCUUCCGCAAUGGACGAAAGUCUGACGGAGCAACGCCGCGUGAGUGAUGAAGGCUUUCGGGUCGUAAAACUCUGUUGUUAGGGAAGAACAAGUGCUAGUUGAAUAAGCUGGCACCUUGACGGUACCUAACCAGAAAGCCACGGCUAACUACGUGCCAGCCGCCGCAGUAA